GCAAGUCGAGGGGUAAGGUCAAGCUUGCUUGACACACGACCGGCGCACGGGUGCGUAACGCGUAUGCAACCUACCCUUAACAGAGGGAUAGCCCCGAGAAAUCGGGAUUAAUACCUCAUAACACUGCGAUAUGGCAUCACAAUGCAGUUAAAACUCCGGUGGUUAAAGAUGGGCAUGCGUGACAUUAGUUAGUUGGUGAGGUAACGGCUCACCAAGACUACGAUGUCUAGGGGUUCUGAGAGGAUGAUC
This 249-nucleotide ribosomal RNA is filed under the name uncultured bacterium. RNAcentral's name for it is "partial 16S ribosomal RNA". It matches the Rfam family "Bacterial small subunit ribosomal RNA", at positions 57 to 305 of the family's 1533-position model. The record is from RNAcentral.